RNAcentral lists this ribosomal RNA (409 nucleotides) under uncultured bacterium. RNAcentral's name for it is "bacterial SSU rRNA". It matches the Rfam family "Bacterial small subunit ribosomal RNA", at positions 357 to 764 of the family's 1533-position model. The record is from RNAcentral.
GGGUUUGGCAUGGGGGGAACCCUGAUCCGCCUGCCGCGUGUGUGAAGAAGGCCUUUUGGUUGUAAAGCACUUUAAGCGAGGAGGAGGCUACUUGGAUUAAUACUCUGAGAUAGUGGACGUUACUCGCAGAAUAAGCACCGGCUAACUCUGUGCCAGCAGCCGCGGUAAUACAGAGGGUGCAAGCGUUAAUCGGAUUUACUGGGCGUAAAGCGUGCGUAGGUGGCCAAUUAAGUCAAAUGUGAAAUCCCUGAGCUUAACUUAGGAAUUGCAUUCGAUACUGGUUGGCUAGAGUAUGGGAGAGGAUGGUAGAAUUCCAGGUGUAGCGGUGAAAUGCGUAGAGAUCUGGAGGAAUACCGAUGGCGAAGGCAGCCAUCUGGCCUAAUACUGACACUGAGGUACGAAAGCAUGG